AGAACGAACGCUGGCGGCAUGCCUAAUACAUGCAAGUCGAACGAACUCUUCGGAGUUAGUGGCGCACGGGUGCGUAACGCGUGGGAAUCUGCCCCUUGGUUCGGAAUAACAGUUGGAAACGACUGCUAAUACCGGAUGAUGACGAAAGUCCAAAGAUUUAUCGCCAAGGGAUGAGCCCGCGUAGGAUUAGCUAGUUGGUGAGGUAAAGGCUCACCAAGGCAACGAUCCUUAGCUGGUCUGAGAGGAUGAUCAGCCACACUGGGACUGAGACACGGCCCAGACUCCUACGGGAGCAGCAGUAGGGAAUAUUGGACAAGU
This 318-nucleotide ribosomal RNA is filed under the name uncultured soil bacterium. RNAcentral describes it as "bacterial SSU rRNA". It matches the Rfam family "Bacterial small subunit ribosomal RNA", at positions 26 to 373 of the family's 1533-position model. The record is from RNAcentral.